GAUGAACGCUAGCUACAGGCUUAACACAUGCAAGUCGAGGGGAAACGGCAUCGAAAGCUUGCUUUUGAUGGGCGUCGACCGGCGCACGGGUGAGUAACGCGUAUCCAACCUGCCCAUCACUUGGGAAUAACCUUGCGAAAGUAAGACUAAUGCCUAAUGACAUCCCACGAAGGCAUCCGAAUGGGAUUAAAGAUUUAUCGGUGAUGGAUGGGGAUGCGUCUGAUUAGCUUGUUGGCGGGGUGACGGCCCACCAAGGCAACGAUCAGUAGGGGUUCUGAGAGGAAGGUCCCCCACAUUGGAACUGAGACACGGUCCAAACUCCUACGGGAGGCAGCAGUGAGGAAGAUUGGUCAAUGGGCGAGAGCCUGAACCAGCCAAGUAGCGUGCAGGAUGACGGCCCUAUGGGUUGUAAACUGCUUUUAUAAGGGAAUAAAGUGGGUCACGUGUGACUUUUUGCAUGUACCUUAUGAAUAAGGACCGGCUAAUUCCGUG
Molecule: ribosomal RNA, 492 nt
Filed under: uncultured bacterium
Lineage: Bacteria
Description: partial 16S ribosomal RNA
Rfam family: Bacterial small subunit ribosomal RNA
Source: RNAcentral